This 253-nucleotide ribosomal RNA is filed under the name uncultured bacterium. Its description in RNAcentral is "partial 16S ribosomal RNA". It matches the Rfam family "Bacterial small subunit ribosomal RNA", at positions 524 to 776 of the family's 1533-position model. The record is from RNAcentral.
UACGUAGGUGGCAAGCGUUGUCCGGAUUUACUGGGCGUAAAGAGCGCGCAGGCGGUCGUUCAAGUCGCGUGUGAAAGCCCCCGGCUCAACUGGGGAGGGUCACGCGAUACUGAUCGACUGGAAGGCAGGAGAGGGUAGUGGAAUUCCGGGUGUAGUGGUGGAAUGCGUAGAGAUCCGGAGGAACACCAGCGGCGAAGGCGGCAUCCUGGACUGGUCCUGACACUCAGGAGCGAAAGCGUGGGGAGCGAUCCGG